RNAcentral lists this transfer RNA (92 nucleotides) under Chthonomonas calidirosea. Its description in RNAcentral is "tRNA-Ser". It matches the Rfam family "tRNA". From Rfam's summary of the family: Transfer RNA (tRNA) molecules are approximately 80 nucleotides in length. Their secondary structure includes four short double-helical elements and three loops (D, anti-codon, and T loops). Lineage: Bacteria; Bacillati; Armatimonadota; Chthonomonadia; Chthonomonadales; Chthonomonadaceae. RNAcentral also lists the same sequence under 3 other names. The record is from RNAcentral.
GGAGAGAUGGCUGAGUGGUCGAAAGCGGCUGACUGCUAAUCAGUUGUAGGGGCGUAUUGCCCCUACCCCGGGUUCGAAUCCCGGUCUCUCCG